GACGAACGCUGGCGGCGUGCUUAACACAUGCAAGUCGAACGCUGAAGACCUGGCUUUUGUUUGGUUGGAUGAGUGGCGAACGGGUGAGUAACACGUGAGUAACCUGCCCUCUUCUUUUGGAUAACGCCCGGAAACGGGUGCUAAUACUGGAUAUUCACUGAUCUUCGUAUGGGGGUUGUUGGAAAGGUUUGUUCUGGUGUGGGAUGGGCUCGCGGCCUAUCAGCUUGUUGGUGGGGUGAUGGCCUACCAAGGCUUUGACGGGUAGACGGCCUGAGAGGGUGACCGGCCACAUGGGGACUGAGAUACGGCCCAGACUCAUACGGGAGGCAGCAGUGGGGAAUAUUGCACAAUGGGCGAAAGCAUGAUGCAGCGACGCCGCGUGAGGGAUGGAGGCCUUCGGGUUGUAAACCUCUUUCGCUCAUGGUCAAGCCGCAACUGUGGGUUGUGGUGAGGGUAGUGGGUAAAGAAGCGCCGGCUAACUACGUG
This 486-nucleotide ribosomal RNA is filed under the name uncultured bacterium. Its description in RNAcentral is "partial 16S ribosomal RNA". It matches the Rfam family "Bacterial small subunit ribosomal RNA", at positions 28 to 507 of the family's 1533-position model. The record is from RNAcentral.